RNAcentral lists this ribosomal RNA (253 nucleotides) under uncultured bacterium. RNAcentral's name for it is "partial 16S ribosomal RNA". It matches the Rfam family "Bacterial small subunit ribosomal RNA", at positions 524 to 776 of the family's 1533-position model. The record is from RNAcentral.
UACGUAGGGUGCGAGCGUUGUCCGGAAUUAUUGGGCGUAAAGAGCUCGUAGGCGGUUUGUCGCGUCUAUCGUGAAAACUGGAGGCUUAACUUUCAGCGUGCGGUGGAUACGGGCAGACUUGAGUUCGGUAGGGGAGACUGGAAUUCCUGGUGUAGCGGUGAAAUGCGCAGAUAUCAGGAAGAACACCCGUGGCGAAGGCGGCUCUCUGGGACGGUACUGACGCUGAGACGCGAAAGCGUGGGGAGCAAACAGG